Molecule: ribosomal RNA, 253 nt
Filed under: uncultured bacterium
Lineage: Bacteria
Description: partial 16S ribosomal RNA
Rfam family: Bacterial small subunit ribosomal RNA
Source: RNAcentral
UACGAAGGGGGCUAGCGUUGUUCGGAUUUACUGGGCGUAAAGGGCGCGUAGGCGGAUUUUUAAGUCAGGGGUGAAAUCCCAAGGCUCAACCUUGGAACUGCCUUUGAUACUGGGAAUCUUGAGUCCGGGAGAGGUGAGUGGAACUGCGAGUGUAGAGGUGAAAUUCGUAGAUAUUCGCAAGAACACCAGUGGCGAAGGCGGCUCACUGGCCCGGAACUGACGCUGAGGCGCGAAAGCGUGGGGAGCAAACAGG